This 77-nucleotide transfer RNA is filed under the name Candidatus Harrisonbacteria bacterium CG10_big_fil_rev_8_21_14_0_10_40_38. RNAcentral's name for it is "tRNA-Met". It matches the Rfam family "tRNA". From Rfam's summary of the family: Transfer RNA (tRNA) molecules are approximately 80 nucleotides in length. Their secondary structure includes four short double-helical elements and three loops (D, anti-codon, and T loops). Lineage: Bacteria; Candidatus Harrisoniibacteriota. The record is from RNAcentral.
GCCGGGGUAGCUCAGUUGGUUAGAGCGUGGGACUCAUAAACCCAAGGUCGCGAGUUCGAUUCUCGCCUCCGGCACCA